This 440-nucleotide ribosomal RNA is filed under the name uncultured bacterium. Its description in RNAcentral is "partial 16S ribosomal RNA". It matches the Rfam family "Bacterial small subunit ribosomal RNA", at positions 338 to 795 of the family's 1533-position model. The record is from RNAcentral.
CCUACGGGUGGCUGCAGUGGGGGAUAUUGCACAAUGGGGGGAACCCUGAUGCAGCGACGCCGCGGGGGUGAAGAAGCGCCUCGGCGCGUAAAGCCCUGUCAGCAGGGAAGAAAAUGACGGUACCUGAAGAAGAAGCCCCGGCUAACUACGUGCCAGCAGCCGCGGUAAUACGUAGGGAGCGAGCGUUGUCCGGAUUUACUGGGUGUAAAGGGUGCGUAGGCGGCUUGGCAAGUCAGUAGUGAAAUCCAUGGGCUUAACCCAUGAACUGCUAUUGAAACUGUCGAGCUUGAGUGAAGUAGAGGUAGGCGGAAUUCCCGGUGUAGCGGUGAAAUGCGUAGAGAUCGGGAGGAACACCAGUGGCGAAGGCGGCCUACUGGGCUUUAACUGACGCUGAGGCACGAAAGCGUGGGUAGCAAACAGGAUUAGAUACCCUAGUAGUC